GUGAAUACCUGACACUCCGAUUCCUCUGCAAUGUAAAAUCAUCUCUCCAUCUCGAAACGUUAAGUUUCGAAUCAUUACCAGCAUUAAAGCCAGCUAGUUUGCUGGGAUCUCGACAGCUUACGCUGUAACUGCGAAUGAGCUUCUGGCUAACACAAGAGUUCACUUCUCCAUUAGCAACACGCCUCAGCUUUUCCCAAGACUCGGCAAUAGGCCGAUCAACCACAUUCCCUCCAACACUGCUUUCUUCAUCAUCAGAC
Molecule: unclassified non-coding RNA, 257 nt
Filed under: Hevea brasiliensis (rubber tree)
Lineage: Eukaryota; Viridiplantae; Streptophyta; Magnoliopsida; Malpighiales; Euphorbiaceae
Source: RNAcentral